Molecule: long non-coding RNA, 402 nt
Filed under: Androctonus crassicauda
Lineage: Eukaryota; Metazoa; Arthropoda; Arachnida; Scorpiones; Buthidae
Source: RNAcentral
UAUUUAUCGCUUUUGAUUAUUUUAAUUCAACAAAGAUAUCGGAAUAAAAUAUUUAUUUCUGAGUUUUGGAAAACCCGAGUUAGAAAAAACAAUAGAUUGAUGACCAAUUCAUAACUUAGCCAGGAAAUGCCGGUCGAUUAAAAAAGUUAAUGUGAAAUUUGGCAUGGUUGGGAGCUGGCCAUAUUUCCGUAAUCGGGUGGAAACGAAGAAAUGGCCCAUGGCGGAUCAUCAUCCAAACGAUUCAUUUGUAAUUCGGUUUCUCGAUUUUUCUAUGACGUCGAUAUUUGAAAAAACGGAUCCCGAUCCGUAUGUCCAUCCCAACACCACAGAAUUUUCGGCGUCAUAUCAGUUAAUAUUGGAAACUUUUCACGCGUAUACGUCCAAAUGAUCAGAAAAUUACUG